Molecule: long non-coding RNA, 3024 nt
Filed under: Sus scrofa (pig)
Lineage: Eukaryota; Metazoa; Chordata; Mammalia; Artiodactyla; Suidae
Description: lncRNA (ENSSSCG00015047359.1)
Source: RNAcentral
UUUUUUCUUUUUUUUUUUUCGAGAUAGUAUGGUAAAGAAGGAGGAGGAGGAGCAGAAGGGGCAGGAAGGAAAGGAGGAAGAGACGAACUUCAUUGCCUACUAUGGGCAGUUGGGUAUGAGAUAGCUCUGAGGGAGUUUCAUACAGUGUGGAAGUCGGUAAAUGUUUUCUUGUAAGUCCAAGAGCAGAUUAUAUAGGGUACAGCAAGCUGAUGAACCUUGUUAUUGGUUUUGAAUAGGGCAAAGAGAAUACAGUCACUGGUAACCUGUGGGAUCAGAAAAUGCCUGCUUUCUUACCCCUGCCUAUUGUUCAUUCUCCUCUGCAUAUAACUAAUGGAUUGUUCUCCUUUUUAUGACCUAAAAAACCUACCAUGCCAAUUUUUGUGUACAUCUGGAACAAGGGUUAUAUAAAUAUUAUUAUGACUAGGAAUAAAUUGCUCAAUAAUAGAUGAAUAAAAAUACCAAAAUAGGAUUGAUUCAACCUUUAACUUUUUUUUAAGUCUCUAAUGUGACUUUUCAUGGCAUCUAGUCCCAUCCUAGUUGUCAUAACUUUGACAAAUCUGCACGUGAGGACUAUGAAAAGAGGUGAGUUGUUAUUACAUGUGAACAAGUAUCCGACUAUCUAUGCAAAGGUUUACAGAAUCACCCACCCAUGGUAAUUUUCCAUCCUUCAACAAUUUUAAAAGCAAUUCAUAGGGAAAAAUGGAGGUCACCUAAUAUGUGGGAGACAUUAUGACUAUAUAAGAAAAUGUUCCAUUAACUUGGAUUAGGGACUACACCUUUUAAAAUCAUUGAUCCAUAAUAAAAAAAAAAAUCACACUUGCAUAAACAUUAUCCCUCAAAACUCAAACAGUGAAAUCAGAAAAUAAUUUAAAACUUUUUCAUUCAAUAUUAAGCCUAAAUCUCAAUUUUAAAGUAACUUCUUAAAAUAUUAUCAGAAACUAAUUUUUACACUGUUUCAGUUCCAUUGGUUGUUUAUAAAGUUUCAUACCUCAUUGGAAAAAUGCAUUUUUAUUUUAAAAAUUAUGUAUUUUAAAAUUUUAAAAUAAUUUUAAAAUAAUUUUAAAAUUAUGUAUUUUAUGUAUUAUGUAUUAUGUAUUAUGUAUUUUAAAAUUAUGUAUUUUAAAAAUUAUGUAUUUUUACUCAUCUGUUACAUGAGCAAAUAUAUUUGUAAAGUAAUUUUCUUAUGCUGUUAUUUAUAAUUAAUGAAAAAUAGGAAAUAAGUGAAGAGGUACAGAAGAAUAGAGAAAUAAAUUACUACAUAAAUCUAUAAAUGAAAUAUCAUAGGUUUCAACAAAAUUAUAUCUGGGAGUUGGGGGUUAUUGUUUUUCUGCAUUUGCCAAGUUGUCUGUAGUCACAAAAAUUAUAAAAUGAUAAAUGACUUUCUUAUAAACACAUUUAUACAUUUAUAAACAUAUUUGUUAUAUUAUUAUGUUAAUCAUUUUACUCAUUCUAAGGGAUUUUGACAACUACAUAAAGUUCAUGUGAGGUGAAGAUAUUAUAUGGAUAGGAUACAUUUAUAAUCAAUUAUAAUAGUUCUAAGAUACACACUAUUAUUUGUAAGAAAAUAGUGAAAAAUUGAAAAAAAUUAGCAUAGUAUCAAGAUAGUUAUAAUUUUUAUUCACAAACUGUUUCUUCUGCAGAGUUAAUGUUUCAAAAUCAUAACAUUUUUGAACUGUAUGAAGUGGUAAGAUUUUCAUUUAACAAAGCCAUAAUGAACUUCUCUAAGUUAAUCAAAAAAUAUUUCUUAAAUUAUAACCAUUCAGGAGUUCCUGAACUCAUGUGUAAGGCUCAGAAAUGGUAGAUGUUUCUAGGACAUAGUUUAAAAAAAAUGAAACUGGUAAUUGAGAUUGUGUAGACAGAUUCAAAAUCAUAUCUGGAAAAUUAAUUUUCCUGACCUAAGAAUUAAAUAUAUAUAUUUUAACAGAAUCCAGUACCUUUCUAAAGCAUUUAACUUGUCCCAUUAUAGGACACUAAGCCAAACAGUCCUCCAGGGGAGAUUGCUUUAUGCCUCUACAUGGAAUCAAGUUAAUAAUUUACUCCUUUUUGUUAGCUCCACAGGCAUGAUCCCAUGUAGACAGAUGUGUAAUAUGUUUUUGUAUUUACAGCUUCUAUUAACUUUUUCCAAUUUUCCAAAGAUGCAAUGUUCUACUUUCCAUACUAAAUAUUACUGUAUAAUUUCCCUACACAAAUUACUUUAGAGAGUAUUAUUUCCAAGUUUAAAAAGUGCAAUUAUUUUGCAAAUUAUAUAAUAAAAUUUUUCAACCUUUUAAACUAAUUAUUUUACAUAGACCUCUAUUAUUCAUAUAAUGUACCACCUUUAGGAAAAAUACGUCAGGAACAAAAUAAUUUACAGCUUCUAUUAACUUUUUCUUGGCCUUUGUUCUGUAGAUGGUAGCCAAUAAUGUGAUAAAUAAAAUGUGAGACACAAAAAGGAAAAUGAAAAAUUAUUUAAAAAGCAGAUAUAUAUUUUUCACUAUUGUGGGGUGGUAUUAAUGCCUAAUAAAAAUAAAUUUAAAAACCAUAGAAAUUACAAUUAAUUAUCCACAGAGCCACUCUACAAAAAGGGAAUGACCAGUAAACAAGAAUACUCUUCUAUAUGAGGAAUAGCCAGUUGGAAAAUAAUGUAAUAAAACACAUGGUAAGAAAAAUAUAAAAACGAGCCAAGAAACUUAUAGAAAUUAUACAAAAAUUCAAAUAUGUAUUAGAAAUAUAAGAUAAAAUUAGAAUAAGAAAAAAUGAUAUAGUUACAUGGAGAAAGAAUUGAUAUUCUAAAGAUGGCAAUUAUUUAUAAACAUAAUGGUAAGUCUCUUGAGAACUCCAAAUGGAUUGGGUAUGAUAAGGGACCAGUUUGAAUAAAGAAAAAGGAAACUUGAUAAAGACUCUACAUUUAAUCUGGAAAAAUAAAACAGACAAAAUUGUUAAGAAAAUACUUAAAAACAGUGACCAGUGGAAGAUUAUUUGCAAAUAUGGUUGCAAUAAUUCCUUCUAUUCUCAUAUGCAUUUUGCCUUAUGACUUUGCCAGUU